AGAAGUGUGUUUUCCUUCACUUCAGGAUUUCUAAAUGAGGGAAGGUGUGGGAACAGAACUGGAUCACAGAGGCUCCAACAAGCUGCAUCCCCCUCUCCACACCCCUAGGUCCCAAGACUCCUGAGGCACACAUCAGACUCCCAAAGUCAGGAAGUGGGGAUGUGAGCAGCACCAUAUGGCAGUGACAGCACCUUCUGCAAGAAGAGAAACUCUAAACCAAUUACAACAAUAUCAUUUCUGUGUUGAACCAUAAGUCAUUGGAAACCCACUGCAACCAUGCUUCCAUAAUAGCAGCUGGAAUCUCCAAUUCUACAGAGAAAAGGAAUGUUGAAGUAACAUACAUGUAGCUUUGAGGAGGAGGCACGUGCAUUCAAGCUCAUGGAGAGGAUUGACAGCCACAGACAGGCACUCAUAAGAACUGAAUGUAAAUCAUCAAAGAGAAUAUACUCAGGAGGCACUGUCUACCAUAGGAUGGAAUGCAGUCGUGCAAUCCUAGCUAACAUAACCUCCAACUCCUGGGCUUGGGAUCUUCCACGUCAGCCUCCCAAAUAGCUAGGACUACAGUUGAUGACAUAGAAGACUUAAUUUCCUCCUCAUGAUUAAUCUCUCAGUUGGAGAGUAUACACACUCUUACACAGAAUCCAGUUAUAUUACCUAUACGUAAAAGAGAUGCUCUGCCUGAUUCUCAUCACUGGACUCUGCAGUAGCCUUGAUUAAGAAAAGAUCACUUCAUCACCCUUUACCCAUUUUCUGUUUGAACUUAGCAUAUCAGAUUUGCAGAGAACUGCUAAAGGCAGCAGCCUUUUAAUGAUACUUGGGCAAUACCAUCCCUAGGCACCUGUGUCAGUCACCAGGUCAGGACGAAAGCCCUCAUCAGAUGCUUACAUCAUGAUCUUGGACUUCCCAGCCUCCAGACUGCAGAAGCUUUGGAACUGGAAUGGCUCUUCAGAACUGACCCAGUUGAGACAAGGGGGCUAGAUCUUUGGACUGUGAUCUGACCACUCACUGACUACAGGCUGCUAUCAAAGAGGAGAUGUAAACCUGAUGCUAUGGAAGAUCAGAAAAUAUAAAUUUAUGAACUGCUAUAAACUGUUAUUUUCUUCGUGAAGAUCAGCCUCCAGGUUCAUCACAUGACUCAGCUAAGAGAAAAUAUCCAGUGGCUCAUCGUUACCUGUGGGAGGAGGUCUGAACUCCAUGGCUUUGCAUUCAUGUUCUUGUUUGUCUCACUUCAACCUUCAUUCCCUCCAAGUCCUCGUUGUCCUCCCAGGGUUCCUCUGCUACAGCCGGGGGAGUCUGAUCCCUGCUUCCUAAAUUUCUCUGAAGCUUAUCUACACC
Molecule: long non-coding RNA, 1335 nt
Organism: Homo sapiens (human)
Lineage: Eukaryota; Metazoa; Chordata; Mammalia; Primates; Hominidae
Source: Ensembl